AGCAAACACUAAUAGGUUUUACGUGACAGAAACCCUAUUCAAACUGACUUAACAAAAAGGACAGUGAUUGCAUGAGAUGGGAAUGUGCCAGCGCCUUAGGAGGAAUCAGAACCAGACACUCAAAUGGUACUAAAAUCCUGGAAGGUGGGUCUACUUUGGCCCCUAUCCAUUGACAUCUCAGUGCUUUGGUGAGGACAGUUCAUCCAUGGAAUAUUUCAGAGAAGAGAAUCAAUAACUGCACAAGGAAUCACAUUCUGAUGUGGGUCUUCUUCAAAGACCUGAUGAGAAACCUCUGGCCCUCUUGCUGCACUGUACAAACCUUGAUGUGUUUCUCUGCUGGCCAUACUGAGCUGAUGGUCCCAAUGUCAAUCAAUGUUAGUGAUACUUCUCAAACAUUUGAUCUCAUAGUUUAAGUCUUUUCUCCCACCUAUAAUAUAACAUUAUAAUGAAGAGUAUUAAAAUCAGAGUGAUGAGCUGUGAAUCCUAUUUUCUCCUUCAUUCAUUUCCUAUGUGUCCCUGAGAAAGAAAUGUAACCUUAC
Molecule: long non-coding RNA, 539 nt
Filed under: Capra hircus (goat)
Lineage: Eukaryota; Metazoa; Chordata; Mammalia; Artiodactyla; Bovidae
Description: lncRNA (ENSCHIG00000001507.1)
Source: RNAcentral